UAGGGAAUAUUGCACAAUGGAGGAAACUCUGAUGCAGCGACGCCGCGUGAGUGAUGAAGGCCUUCGGGUUGUAAAGCUCUGUCGCAGGGGAAUAAGAAAGUGAAGGUACCCUGCAAGAAAGGAUCGGCUAACUUCGUGCCAGCAGCCGCGGUAAGACGAGGGAUCCAAGCGUUGUUCGGAAUUAUUGGGCGUAAAGCGGGUGUAGGUGGCUAUGUAAGUCAGGUGUGAAAGCCCAGGGCUCAACCCUGGAAGUGCAUUUGAUACUGCGUAGCUUGAGUGUAGGAGAGGAUAGUAGAAUUCCUGGUGUAGUGGUGAAAUACGUAGAUAUCAGGAGGAAUACCGGAGGCGAAGGCGGCUAUCUGGCCUAACACUGACACUCAGACCCGAAAGCGUGGGGAUC
Molecule: ribosomal RNA, 400 nt
Filed under: uncultured bacterium
Lineage: Bacteria
Description: bacterial SSU rRNA
Rfam family: Bacterial small subunit ribosomal RNA
Source: RNAcentral